AUCGAACGCUGGCGGCAUGCCUUACACAUGCAAGUCGAACGGCAGCACGGGUGCUUGCACCUGGUGGCGAGUGGCGAACGGGUGAGUAAUAUAUCGGAACAUACCCUAGAGUGGGGGAUAACGUAGCGAAAGUUACGCUAAUACCGCAUACGAACUAAGGUUGAAAGUGGGGGAUCGCAAGACCUCAUGCUCAUGGAGUGGCCGAUAUCUGAUUAGCUAGUUGGUGAGGUAAAGGCUCACCAAGGCGACGAUCAGUAGCUGGUUUGAGAGAACGACCAGCCACACUGGAACUGAGACACGGUCCAGACUCCUACGGGAGGCAGCAGUGGGGAAUUUUGGACAAUGGGGGCAACCCUGAUCCAGCAAUGCCGCGUGAGUGAAGAAGGCCCUCGGGUUGUAAAGCUCUUUUGUCAGGGAAGAAACGGUCUACUCUAAUACAGUGGACUAAUGACGGUACCUGAAGAAUAAGCACCGGCUAACUACGUGCCAGCCGCCGCAGUAA
Molecule: ribosomal RNA, 502 nt
Filed under: uncultured bacterium
Lineage: Bacteria
Description: partial 16S ribosomal RNA
Rfam family: Bacterial small subunit ribosomal RNA
Source: RNAcentral